Molecule: ribosomal RNA, 146 nt
Filed under: Ochrophyta sp.
Lineage: Eukaryota
Description: partial small subunit ribosomal RNA
Rfam family: Eukaryotic small subunit ribosomal RNA
Source: RNAcentral
AGUUGGUGGAGUGAUUUGUCUGGUUAAUUCCGUUAACGAACGAGACCCCCGCCUGCUAAAUAGUGCGGCUUACGCUUUUGCGUAGGCGUACACUUCUUAGAGGGACUUUCGGUGACUAACCGAAGGAAGUUGGGGGCAAUAACAGG